This 500-nucleotide ribosomal RNA is filed under the name Mycobacterium sp. N101. RNAcentral describes it as "bacterial SSU rRNA". It matches the Rfam family "Bacterial small subunit ribosomal RNA", at positions 1 to 522 of the family's 1533-position model. The record is from RNAcentral. Lineage: Bacteria; Bacillati; Actinomycetota; Actinomycetes; Mycobacteriales; Mycobacteriaceae.
UGGAGAGUUUGAUCCUGGCUCAGGACGAACGCUGGCGGCGUGCUUAACACAUGCAAGUCGAACGGUAAGGCCCUUCGGGGUACACGAGUGGCGAACGGGUGAGUAACACGUGGGUGAUCUGCCCUGCACUUUGGGAUAAGCCUGGGAAACUGGGUCUAAUACCGGAUAGGACCACGGCCUUCAUGGGUUGUGGUGGAAAGCUUUUGCGGUGUGGGAUGGGCCCGCGGCCUAUCAGCUUGUUGGUGGGGUAAUGGCCUACCAAGGCGACGACGGGUAGCCGGCCUGAGAGGGUGUCCGGCCACACUGGGACUGAGAUACGGCCCAGACUCCUACGGGAGGCAGCAGUGGGGAAUAUUGCACAAUGGGCGCAAGCCUGAUGCAGCGACGCCGCGUGAGGGAUGACGGCCUUCGGGUUGUAAACCUCUUUCAGUAGGGACGAAGCGCAAGUGACGGUACCUAUAGAAGAAGCACCGGCCAACUACGUGCCAGCAGCCGCGGUA